This 407-nucleotide ribosomal RNA is filed under the name Methylobacteriaceae bacterium Ellin7024. Its description in RNAcentral is "bacterial SSU rRNA". It matches the Rfam family "Bacterial small subunit ribosomal RNA", at positions 51 to 499 of the family's 1533-position model. The record is from RNAcentral. Lineage: Bacteria; Pseudomonadati; Pseudomonadota; Alphaproteobacteria; Hyphomicrobiales; Methylobacteriaceae.
ACACAUGCAAGUCGCACGGGCACUUUGCGGGUGUCAGUGGCGGACGGGUGAGUAACGCGUAGGAACAUGUCCAGGGGUGGGGGAUAACGCUGGGAAACUGGCGCUAAUACCGCAUGUGAGCUGAGGCUCAAAGCCGUGAGGCGCCUUUGGAGUGGCCUGCGUCCGAUUAGCUUGUUGGUGGGGUAAUGGCUUACCAAGGCUUCGAUCGGUAGCUGGUCUGAGAGGACGACCAGCCACACUGGGACUGAGACACGGCCCAGACUCCUACGGGAGGCAGCAGUGGGGAAUAUUGGACAAUGGGCGCAAGCCUGAUCCAGCAAUGCCGCGUGGGUGAAGAAGGUCUUCGGAUCGUAAAGCCCUUUCGACGGGGACGAUGAUGACGGUACCCGUAGAAGAAGCCCCGGCUA